RNAcentral lists this ribosomal RNA (250 nucleotides) under uncultured bacterium. RNAcentral's name for it is "partial 16S ribosomal RNA". It matches the Rfam family "Bacterial small subunit ribosomal RNA", at positions 524 to 773 of the family's 1533-position model. The record is from RNAcentral.
GACGGAGGGUGCAAGCGUUAUUCGGAAUCAUUGGGCGUAAAGGGCGUGCAGGCGGCCGACCAAGUCAGGGGUGAAAGCCCGGGGCUCAACCCCGGAAGUGCCUCUGAUACUGGCUGGCUUGAGUUCGGGAGAGGGAAGCGGAAUUCCGGGUGUAGAGGUGAAAUUCGUAGAUAUCCGGAGGAACACCGGUGGCGAAGGCGGCUUCCUGGACCGAAACUGACGCUGAGACGCGAAAGCGUGGGGAGCAAAC